This 1125-nucleotide ribosomal RNA is filed under the name Shivaphis celti (Asian woolly hackberry aphid). RNAcentral describes it as "partial 16S large subunit ribosomal RNA". Lineage: Eukaryota; Metazoa; Arthropoda; Insecta; Hemiptera; Aphididae. The record is from RNAcentral.
UUAUAUUUUAUAAAAAUAAUUUAUUUAUUUUUUGUUUUAGUAUUUAUUAAGAAAAAAUUUUUAAAUUUAUAGUUUAAUAGUAUUGUAAAAGAAUUAAUUUAAAUUUAAUUAAGAAUUAUUUUAUUAGUACCUUUUGUAUCAGGGUUGAUUAAAAUAUUAAAUUUAUUUUUAAUUCUCAAAAUUUAUAGAGUUAAUUUUAUUAUUAAUUUACUGUUUUAUAAGUAUUUAUAAAAUAAUAUUAGUUUUGAAAUUUAAUUCGUUAUAAUAUAUUUAGUUAUUUAAGAUUUAAAUUUAAUUUAAAAUUUUAAAAGUUUAUAUUAAUUUAAUUAAUUAAAAUUUUAAAUUUAAAUUAUUUUAGGGAUAAGCUUGGAAUUUUUAUAUAAUUAAUUUUUUAAUUAAAUAAUUUAUAGGAAUAGAAAUUUUUAUUUAAGUUUGUAAAAAUUUAUUAUUUUAAAAAAUUUAAUUUAUUAAUUUAAUUUAUUUUUGAUAUUAAAUUUUAUAAAUAAAUAAUUUAUUUAUAGUAAUAAUGAUUAAAUUAGUAUAAUAAAAAUUUAUAAAUUAUGAAUUCGGCAAUAAUUAUUUUCAUCUGUUUAUCAAAAACAUUGUAUUAAGUUUAAUUUAAUAUAUAAUCUGCUCAAUGAAAUUUUAAAUAGCUGCAGUAUUUUGACUGUGCAAAGGUAGCAUAAUAAUUAGUCUUUUAAUUGAGGACUAGAAUGAAAGAUUUGAUGAGAAAUAAACUUUAUUAUUUAUAAAAUUAAAAUUUUAUUUUUAAGUAAAAAAGCUUAAAUAAUUUAAAGGGACGAUAAGACCCUAUAAAACUUUAUAAUUAUUUAAAUUUGAUUUUUUUUGUUUAUAAGUAUUUAAAUUUUAAUAAUUAUUUUAUUGGGGUGAUAAAAAAAAAUUGAACUUUUUUUAAAAUUUGACAUUAAUUAAUGAUUAAUUGAAUUAAAAUUUUUAAUUAAAGGAAAAAGUUACUUUAGGGAUAACAGCGUAAUUAAUUAUUUAAGUCCAAAUUUAAUAAUUAGUUUGCGACCUCGAUGUUGAAUUAAGAUUAAUCUUAGGUGCAAAAUUUUAAGUUUUAGGUCUGUUCGACCUUUAAAAUCUUACAUGAUUUGAGUUCAAACC